AAGAGACAUCACGGGAAGAAGAUUGCUGUUCUUUUGAUAGAUGGGAGAAGUUAUGUUUUUAGGCUCCUCUCUGCUGAUAUUGUUUCAGAAAAACCCGGGCCUAGUGCAUGCAAACUGGCCAUGAGAAGAUAGAAGUUCCUGGGAGAACAAAGCAAGAAGUGAAUUCAUUCAAGAUUGCACAAAAUGCCAUGAGGGACUAAUGGACAGAAAUGUGAUCUUUCAUGGCAGUGGAAGACCCAUCACGAAGGCCCUCAUCAGAUGCUGGCCACUCAAUCAUAAACUUCUUCACCUCCAGA
Long non-coding RNA from Fukomys damarensis (Damara mole-rat), 296 nucleotides. RefSeq lists it as uncharacterized. NCBI's taxonomy places the organism in Eukaryota, Metazoa, Chordata, Mammalia, Rodentia, Bathyergidae. The transcript is spliced from 3 exons. The record is from RefSeq and is a predicted model, not a curated record.